Phyllostomus hastatus (greater spear-nosed bat) is the source of this 2394-nucleotide long non-coding RNA. RefSeq lists it as uncharacterized. The record is from RefSeq and is a predicted model, not a curated record. The transcript has 10 exons. Lineage: Eukaryota; Metazoa; Chordata; Mammalia; Chiroptera; Phyllostomidae.
AAAGAAUUAGAGAACUCAGUUGUGACAGCUCAGGGAAAUGUUUCAUGGGAAGUAACAGAUGGUUCAAAGCCACCCUAAUUUCUGAGUGAGAUGGAGAAAGCCCAUGAGCCUGGAAAAUUGAAGGUUCUUGAAUCAGCUGUGAACAAAGUGGAGAAGGAUUCUGUCUUCUACAUUACAACAGCAAGAAAUUGACAACAGAAAAAUACAGAAACCCUCCCCAAUGCAUAACUGAAGUCCCAAGUGGUCUGUCACUGUGGCUAUGAAGAUUUGUCUAAGCUUGUGUUAUCUCAAGAGCCUGACAUCACACUGAUCAUUAAGCAACAGCACUGAGGCGCAGCUGGGUGUUACCAUGGCAACCUGCACUGGAUUUGCCUGCAGAGCUGUUUCAAGGACUUCAGGUACACAGGACUCAUCAGUCCAAGUGGUAAGAGAAACAUCUCCCUCUGUUUGAGAAGAAUGACCAACUAAACUGAAGAUGGAAGCUUCUGGGCCUUGUCAUAUUGGACACAGAGAAGAAGAAAACACAAUCACCAAAAGAACAGAACCCCCUGGCAGUGUUCACAUUUGCUGCUGCUCCCAGAAUUGCCUGUUUAACAUUUUCAGACUGAGGUUGACUGCAAGUAACUAAAAUGUGAAAAAUGAAGAAACCACAAGAACCACAGAAGUGACUUUGUGUCCAUGGAAGUUUAAAGUAAUUAAGAUGACACCAAGAAUGAUGGCCUUGACUGUUCACAGAAAUCAGACCUAACAAGACAAACAGGUUUCCAAUCAUAGAGGACACCCUGUCCUCAGAAGUACCAGAGAGGAAGGAGUUUUAUUCAUUUGUUUUUCUAUGCAUCUAAAUAUCCUGACAAUCUAAUCUCCAGAGGACCCUAGUCACCAGGCAAUACAAGACAUUCUCCAAUUGUGAGGUCCUCAACCCACUUUUCUGUGCUCUUCUAGUUCAAAAUGAGAACAUAAAAGACAAAACUGAAGAAAUUAGAUUUGAAUCUUUAUUACUACAAACAGAUACCUGGACCCACUCCCUCCUUAUUGUUGAUCAGAAAUUCUGGGAUAAGUGAUUAGAGCAAUAAAUCUCACCUAAGAAUAAGAUCAAUUUCCUGUUUUCCUCAGAGAAAAAAGAAAGUGGAAGAAGACAGUUUUUUCCUGGUGACAGUUUAUUUUAUCCCAGACACUUUCUCCAUUUGUAAUUUAGUCUCACUUGUGUAUUCAGAAGCAGUGCCAGUUCAGAUGGGUUUUGUGGGUGGGGACUAACAAAGUUAAAUACAGAUGUUCUGGUGCAUGAAGCCCUUAAGAGUCCAGCAGGAUUGAUAUGGUAAAAUAAACUCAGGGAGGGCUGUCUGGACCCACCUUUUCAGGAGACAAAGUGAGCAUAAAUAAGCAUAGAAUUAACAGGCCUCCUGUGCCAAAGUCAGAGGCAACCUGGGGACAUGGAUUUACAGAGGAAAAUACUCUCUAUAGUACAUUUGCUAUGAGAAAGUACAAUAUUAGAUGUUCUGGCUUUUAAUAUCAGGGUAUCACAAGGAAUAGUGGUCCAAAUUGGCACUGACCCCAUCAGCACUUUUUAUAAUAAAUGCUUCAUUUACUGGAAAUAUGGCUAUCAGGUUGCAAAACAUAAAAAUAACACUCAAAUCCAAGGUCAAACCACAGGGUGUAUAAUUCCCUUUUACUAACUAAACAAUUCAGUACUAAUUAUUCAGAUGCAGGGUGUAAUUGUUUUCCCAGGUUAUGCUUCAAUCUUUCCAAUUUACAAAGUCUGCUACAUGCACCAUCUCACCACCAUAGUGUGUCUGCCCCAUUACCCAGACAAGUUGAACUGGAAAUAGUUUUAUUUGCCCAUUUUAAGUAUCUUCCUCUCCUCUCAGGGUAACAUUAGUUUUUGUGUGGCUUAACAGAUGUUAUCAUCAUUUGCCCCUUCCAUGGAUAAGACACCUCUAGAGAGGCCAACAGAGUAGAACUCGAUCACUCUAAUAUAUUAGGUGAGAUUGCCUCAUCCUCUUUAUCUUUCAGAUUCUUUGUAUGUCUGUUCUAGAUAUGUUGUCAAAGUUGUGGUAAUCCUCACCAACUGGUAAGAAAUGAUAUGAAUGAGAUUGUAUUGUUGUGGGGCUUUUAUAUUCUGUGUGGUGGGAAUAUAAAUUAGCAUGACUUUUUGUUGGCAUUGUAUAAUAAAAUUUAAAAUGUACAUUCCAUUUUAUACACAAAAUUUUAUAUCUAAUAAAUAUUAUAUUCCAAUGAUAUAGUCAUAUAGUCAAUGAUAUAGUUAUAUGUAUCUUUACAUAUAAAUAUGUAAAGAUAUACAAAGUUGUUCAUCACAAUGAGAAACAACCUAUAUCCACCAAUAUGGACUAGUUAAAAAAUAUGGUAUACUCGUGGAAGAGAAUCUAUACAUUUGCU